Molecule: transfer RNA, 68 nt
Filed under: Marmota monax (woodchuck)
Lineage: Eukaryota; Metazoa; Chordata; Mammalia; Rodentia; Sciuridae
Description: tRNA.Ala
Source: RNAcentral
GGAUUGUGGCUCAGAGGGAGAGCACUUGCCUCGCAUGCUUGAGGCACUGGGUUCGAUCCUCGGCACCA